Molecule: ribosomal RNA, 416 nt
Filed under: Triticum aestivum (bread wheat)
Lineage: Eukaryota; Viridiplantae; Streptophyta; Magnoliopsida; Poales; Poaceae
Description: partial small subunit ribosomal RNA
Source: RNAcentral
AUCUUCCUUUUACUCCGUCUCUUCCAAAGUGGUUGGAGAAGAUGUGACUGUUCAGAAAAGAAAGGUCGUAACGGUACCACUCGACGACGACAUCACGAAAUAUUAAAAAACCGGGGAAGGAUCUACAAGCGUCGGACUACCAAGACGUGUUAACCAUCCUCGUCGCUUACACGAGUACCUUCGAGUAAUUGAACUAAUCGUCGCCGCGGCGAGGAGGAGUACCGGUACCCACUUCGUCGUCGCCGCGGCGAGGAGGAGUACCGGUACCGGUGUAGGAGGAGGUGUGGAGGAAACGUGCGCGAAGGGCGAAGGCGAACGAGCAAGAGGCCCACAACAUCAAUCUUGUCCGUCCCACCUCUCCCGUGUGUCUUCGAUCCGUCCGGUGUCUGUUGUCACACGACGUCUGAACUCACUCC